RNAcentral lists this small RNA (507 nucleotides) under Pongo abelii (Sumatran orangutan). RNAcentral describes it as "processed transcript". The record is from RNAcentral. Lineage: Eukaryota; Metazoa; Chordata; Mammalia; Primates; Hominidae.
AGCGGGAGCGGGAGCCGGGCCGCAGCUGGGGCUGGAGACGCCGUCGCAGCCUGAACGGAGUGUGCGACGGAUUGGGAGGUUUGUCUACAGAUUUUGAGCGUUCGAAGUUGACCCCUGACUAUACUUUGCUGCUCCCUCAGCCUUUGAAGAAAUGUCUGUCACGUAUGAUGAUUCCGUUGGAGUAGAAGUGUCCAGCGACAGCUUCUGGGAGCUGGUAUCAACUCCGCAGUGCUGUGGUCGUCCGCCUCCUCCAUGAUGGAUGUUCGUUGUGUGGCGGAGCGACUGCUCAGUGAUGGUCUGCAGGGAUCUGAGAGACUCAGGUGCACACUGCCAACUGUACAUCUUCCCAGGUCGGGAACUACAAGCGGACUGUGAAGCGGAUCGACGAUGGCCACCGCCUGUGCAGCGACCUCAUGAACUGCCUGCAUGAGCGGGCACGCAUCGAGAAGGCGUAUGCGCAGCAGCUCACUGAGUGGGCCCGGCGCUGGAGGCAGCUCGUGGAGAAGG